AUCAAGCUGACGAUUCCCACAUAGGAAGGAACGAGUGUCCUGGAU
This is a non-coding RNA of Schistosoma rodhaini, 45 nucleotides long. The record is from Rfam. NCBI's taxonomy places the organism in Eukaryota, Metazoa, Platyhelminthes, Trematoda, Strigeidida, Schistosomatidae.